CACGAUAGGCGACGCCGGACGCAGCUUCCUCUUCUUUUCUUCGCGUCGCCCUCCAACCCCACCCACCGCCGCCGCCACCCAGCACCACAAACCCGCACGAUCCCUCUCCGCGUCCUUGGUCGCCGACUUCCGAUAAGCUUCGACGCCGCGCACGCACGAGCUAGCGCAAAGCUCCAGCAUAUCAUCCCCAAUUUCGGAAGUCCGAUCCCCGGUUCGAUCCAGAACACCCUUUUUUUCUAGGGUUUGGUUUUGGCCGUGGAUCUAGGGUUUGGUGAGCCAAUUUUCCCUCGAUUCCCUUCGAUUGCUGGGAUUUGUUGUGCCUGCGCAUCAUGGCCGCGGGGCGCCACGGAGGAUACAGUGGUUACGAGGUGUCGAAGGAGCGGGAGUUCGAUCCGGAGGCUUCUAGAAGGGGCAAGGAUUACCAUCACCGCAACCCUAGCCGCCACCGCGACUCAGAUCGUCGUCGUGAUGGCGGCCGGAGCAGGGACCGGGAGACGUCAAAUGGGCACACCCGCCACCGGUCGCCACAUCUGCCACCGAAGAGCCGACCGUCAGGGAGGAGGGAGGAGAGGGAGCCCGGCGAGGUUUCAAGCGGAAGUGGCUCGGAAGAGUCUCGUGGGCGGCCGCUCAAGGCAAGGGAACCUGGUGUGAAUGGUGUUGUUGGGGUCAGCAGGGAGGGCGGGGUGCCGUCCCCAAGUAAGAAGCGAAAAUACUCGCCGGUUAUUUUGGAUAGGAAUGCUUCAAAGCCUCGCGUCCAAGAUGUUGGCAACCCGAGCAUGAAAGAGGUAGGCACUGUGGUUGCCAACCUCCCAGAUGUUGGCAACCUGAGCAGCAUUGAUUUGGAUGCGUCGGUUGAUGUACAAAAUGUUGAAAGAUUACAGGAGCACGACAAUGAUAGGGUUAUUAUGGAGGAGGAUGAGGAGGAGGAUGCUUAUCCAACAAUGAUAAACAUUAGGACUUCACGAUGGGCAGAUGCUGAUGACAAGGAAGAAAUUGCGUCAAAGAAGAAAAGCGUGUCACCAGAACAAGGGUCCGUGAAAAAGGUUACAAGCCCAGAGCUUGGAAAGUUGAUGGUGGAUAAAGACUCAAACUCCUCAGUGUCUUCUGACUCUGGCGUAGUACAGUUUAGUGCAAACAGGGAUCUUGAAGUAGAUAAGGGUGACUACAUGGAUAUCGAGAAGGAUGCUGGGGAUGAUUCUUCUGCUCUUUGUGGGAUGCGCACUGAUUCUGAGAGUCAUCGGUGUAGCUCUAGAACCCCAGAGCCCGCAGGGUCGCCGCAUAGGUGCAUUAACAUGCUUCAGGGUUGUAGGGGUGUUGACGAGUUUGAGAGGCUCAACACAAUUAAUGAGGGUACAUACGGUAUUGUAUCUAGGGCAAAGGAUAAGAAAACUGGUGAGAUUGUUGCAUUGAAGAAGGUAAAGAUGGAGAAUGAACGGGAAGGUUUCCCACUGACUUCUCUCAGGGAAAUAAAUAUCCUGCUAUCGUUCCAUCACCCUUCGAUUGUGGAUGUCAAGGAAAUAGUCGUUGGGAGUGGUGACAGCACCUAUAUGGUGAUGGAGUACAUGGAGCACGAUCUCAAGGCUGUCAUGGAGACCAUGAAACAACCAUAUAGUCAAAGCGAGGUCAAAUGUUUGAUGCUUCAGCUGCUAGAAGGUGUGAAGUAUCUUCAUGACAAUUGGGUGAUUCACAGGGAUCUCAAGACGUCUAAUAUUCUCUUGAAUAACCGCGGUGACUUGAAAAUAUGUGAUUUUGGGCUCUCUCGUCAAUAUGGCAGCCCACUAAAGCCUUACACUCAAUUGGUUGUGACUUUGUGGUACAGGGCUCCAGAACUACUGUUAGGUGCAAAGGAAUAUUCCACUGCUAUUGAUAUGUGGUCGUUGGGUUGUAUUAUGGCAGAACUCCUUUCAAAAAAGCCACUGUUUGAUGGGAAACGUGACAUCGACCAACUUAGUAAGAUAUUUAGAAUGCUUGGUACACCUAACGAGGACAUAUGGCCUGGUUAUUCUAAAUUACCGGGCGCCAGGGCCAAAUUUGCCAAACAACCGUACAAUAGAUUAAGGGAAAAGUUUCCAGCUGUAUCUUUCACUUGUGGGCUGACCCUGUCAGAGGCUGGAUUUGACCUGCUAAACAGAAUGCUGACGUAUGACCCUGAAACGCGCAUAUCAGCAGAGGAUGCGUUGAACCAUGAAUGGUUCUGUGAAGUACCAUUGCCUCAGUCAAGGGAUUCUAUGCCAACAUUUCAUUCCCUUAAUGAACAAGACAGGCGCAUGAUGAAACGUAUGAAGAGCCCUGAUCCUCUGGAGGAGCAACGAAUGAAAGAACUGGGGAGCAUACACGACCGUGGAAUUUUUGGCUGAGCCCUGAUCUUUUGGUUUGCUGCAGAUGCCAAUUUUCAACAUGAACCUCUGGAAGUGCACGUGUUCCAAGGUCAGACGUCCACUGGAUAUAUGAAGUACAUCGUCUUCUUGGUGUCUGGCGAGUGGCGACAGUUGGUGGCCUUCUUUAGCAGGCAUGGAUGCAUAAUCAGAAGGGGAUAAGAUUUCUCCUUAUAUUCCGUGCUAGGCACUAUUUCAUUUACAGGGUUAGCUCUUCCCCAACUUCUGGUCACAAUGAACUCUUACUUUACUUUUGGUCACAAUCUAAUCCACUGUGCAUUGUAAGGUGUGCAAAUAUCUCAUACAGCUACAUCGUAUGGUCUGGCCUAUUCACAGCUAUUGGGUACACCAGUUUCACAUACCGAUCUUCUAGAUGAAUGAAGCGAAGAAGGGGAGUACCUUUUGCUUUUUCGCGAGGAAACUGAUGCAUAGUAAUGCAAAUUGUAAGGUAAUAUGCUGAGGAAUUAGUUUCCCACUGAUGUGUUAUCGUGCUAUAUAAAUGCGACAUAUUUACCAUUUUUUAUCUCUGUGUUUGUGGAUGUUCUGUGUGAAUGGUCUUGUAAGCUCAGGUGAGCUUUGGCGUUGUUUGGAAAUAUCUAAAAUUGUACUCCCUCUGUAAACUAAUAUAAGAGCGUUUAGAUCACUAUUUUAGUAUUCUAAACGCUCUUAUAUUAGUUUACGAAGGGAGUACAUACAUAUUUUAUGGCUUAUUCUGCUUGAUAUGUUCAUGUUUUCUGUUAAUGUACUAUGUGAAAUUCUAACUUACAUAAUGAAUGCAAACUAAAAAGGAGAAAUUAAUACUUAUGAACUUCUUUUGUGCAGUCAAUGCAACUUUCGUCGUAAGAGCACAACUAAUGUCGUCUUAAAAACACAACUAAUUUUAUAUUGCGAAAUGGAGACCUUCAUUUCUGUUAUUGUUUGCUGUCCUGAAAACAGGAAUUUGAGAGCAAAGGUUGGAAAUUGACUUCCCAUGACCUUUGUUCUCCCAAAUCUAGACGCUAUUUUGUUCUGCUUUUAUUAUUUUCAGGAUUUUGUUCUUGUUUCGCCUAUCUUGCCUGAUGGAUAAAAAGCCUUUCUUGCAUUGUUGAAUGAUACUAUGUUUUUCACCUAGGCUUUCAUUUUGUGUUGAUUACGUUCUGGGAAUCGACACGUUCUACAAAAUGUAAAUGAUUUUCAACAACCGACCUAAAUUUGUGAAAAAACAUCAGUGGCCAAUUUUUUAGAAGUUUGACUAAAAUGCUAUCCUUUUGUGAACUGGAUGGAGCACUAUUUAGUGAAAUUUGUAAAAUGUUUUUGGUUCUUAGGUACUGGUUUGCCCUUCAUGAAAAGUUUAUGCACUCUUACUCAUAUGCCAUUCUUUUAAGUAUUAUUAUUUAUAAGCCAUAGUUUCUAACCCUCUCCCUUAAAUACCCAGCAAUCUGUUAGGACCACCCUUGUAUAUAAAAGGGUUAUCCCUCACAAAUUCCUUGAUGGCAUGCAAGCAAUAAGGCUGAAAACAAUGACAUGCAAGGGAUUGGUUUUAAGAGUAGCAUAUACGGGAGUUCCUUAUAUGAUAAUAUACUUGCAUGCACUUCAGUAUCAUCCGUUUAAUGAGGUAGUCAGUUUUCAUUGUUUCAGUUUCAAGUCAUUUGCUAUGUGCAGGACAUCUGAUGAUAGAAAAGCUAGUCUGAUUGGUGUCCAUGAUUGAAUGCUUGUUUGUACAUAGCAUAUCUUCCUGUGAAAUCAGUUAAUCCAGUUCUCUUACUCAAUUUUAACUUUGAACUAUGAAUUACUUGUAUUGUGUAAGCUGCUUGGAGAGUUGAUUGAACUCACUUAAGUGUUCUGUGACCCGUCUGCAGCUUAAGCUGUGGCUUUCAAGACAGGAAGCUCGAGUGCUGUCAGCUUACCUUGCUUAAUUGACUUUCUUUGUGGAAGGUAUCCAAGCUCUGUUACUCUUGUCAAUCUUAGUUGGUCACUAUACUAUCCUAUCUUGUUAUGUUUUCUUGCUAGUAGUUUUCUUUGGUAACUGAUUACCAUUUCCUUGGUUGACAAAUAUAUUAUUUUUAAAUAUGUUCAGAGUUCAGGCGAUCUCAUCUUUAACUUAAUAUUGCUACAUGAUCCCUUGAAGAGUUGCCUGUUCUCUGGUUCUAUAUUUCCGAAGAUGCACGCCAUUGUCAUGAAAUGCUGCACUUUAUAAUUUGAUAAAAAAUUGUGGAUUCCGUAUGCUUUGCUUACUACAGGAAAACUGACAGGUGCUGGUAGAAACAAGACUAGUUUUCAUUUAAAUAAAUCAUGUUUAGUUUCCUUAAUGUUGUGAUAAUUUACCUACGGAUGCCUUGUAGUUAUCAGUUCAUUUUUAUUUAAUCCCUGUCAACCAUGUGCCCCCACCCACCAGUGGACAUGAUGAUUCUUUGUUGAACAUUUGUUGGAUAAUUCCAGUAGUUAGUUAUUUGCAGCGACCUAUUAAUUGCUCUCUCUCAAGUACUCCCUCCGUUCCAGAAUAUAAGGUGUAUUGUUUUCCAUGCAAGUCAACCAUCUGAAUGUUUGACCAAGAUUAUAGAAUAAAAUAACAACACAUGCAAUACCUAAUAGAUAAAAUAUGAAACUACUUUUCAUGAUGAAUCAAAUGAUAUAAAUUUUGUAUUGCGAAUAUUCAUAUAUUUUUCUAAAAACUCAGUCAAACAUGCACUCGUUUGACUUUUGGAAAAAACAGAUACACCUUAUAUAAAGGAAUGGAGGGAGUAGAUAGUACCACCGGUGGAGAAGAGAGCCCUGUUUUUUUAUAGAUAUGGCUCUUUUGUACUGAAUUCCUUGCCCCACUUCUGAAUGCAAUGCUUAUCAGUACUAAAAAAACCAGAACACAGACCCGUACAUUUUGUUCUUUUGGCGAGGGGUAUUCUGUUGUUGUGGUAUUUGGAUUAUGUAUACACAGUUUAGACAUCUCUUCAAAUUGCUACAAAUCGGUAACUUAUGUAGUGGUCAGAACUAACCUAGAUAAGGGCGGAGUGAAACAAGUUUUAAGUGCAAAUGAAGUGCUGGCUCUUGCCACUGUUGCGCCUAAUCGGGCUGCUUGUUAGCUAUUUCUGUCUUUGCUGCUUGCGACUUGGGCGGCAUGCUGGCUUGUGCCGGUACAGACGGAGAAAGAAAUAGGAGUGAGAUUCAGCCAAGUGGGAUGUUGAUAUGAUGUUUAUGUUCGCAUCGAGACAGCUCUCUCUCAAGUAAAUGGUACCAAUGGUGGAGAAGAGAGCCCUGUUUUUAUAGAUAUGACCUUUUGCAUUGAAAUUCCUUGCCCCACUUCUGAAUGAAAUGCUUAUCAGUAUUAAGCAAAAUCAGAACACAGAUCCAUUUAUUUUGUUCUUUCAUCGAGUGGUAUUUAUAGAGUUCAGAUCUGUCGAAAUUUCUACAAAGAUGGUAACUUAUGUAGUGGCUCUUGCCACCGCUGCGCCUCAUUGGGUGCAGCUCGUUAGCUAUUUCUGUCUUUGCUGCCAGCGACUUGGGCGGCCUGCUGACUUGUGCAGGUACCGAAAGGGAAAAGGGAAUAUGAGUGAGAUUCAGGCAAGUGAGAUGUUGAUGCGAUGCUUGUGUUUGCAUCGAGACAGAAACAAAGAAGCUCUAUUGUGAGUGCUGGACCGAACUGUUUAUGGGUUCUGACUUGCAUAUCCUUCAUGAAUUCCUAGAAGAAAUCAUGUACCAAUCUAUUAUUUUCUAUCCUUGUUUUCUACUCCCUCUGUUACAAAAUAAGUGUCGUGGAUUUAGUUCAAAUUUGAACCAUGUCAGUUAUUUUGGAACAGAGUAUUUGUAUAAGUUGAUUGUAUUGUGUUAGUUUAGAUAGAAGACUGUUAAGUCGUGUUCAUAGUGGGCCAUCUAAAAGUUGAUGGUCUUAAACUUCUUUAGUGGCACUUCAUCUUUAGUUAUCAGUUACAGUGUGGUAAAUAUUUUACUGGACAGUUCAUUGAAAUAUCUUUUCUUAUUCCGUGAAUGCAAGAUCAUUGUCAAAGGCAUGCCUGUAUUCCGUGAAUGCAAGAUCAUUCUCAAAGGCAUGCCGGUUUCCAGCGCAUCCUCUUGGUCAGUUGUUGCAGACGAAAUGCCUGCAGCAGAGCAUUCUACUAUGAACCUUAUUGACCUUUUCAGAACAAAUUAGCACAUACAUUUUGAAUAGAAAUGCUAUCUAACAUCGUUAACCAUUUCUCUCUUUUGCUGUCGUUUAAGUCAAGGGUCAAUUCUGCUGUAGCCUGAGUUUUUGAAUGAAAGUGCUGAAAUUUUGAUCAAAUAAGUUUGGCUUGGAAGCCUUGUAAAGCAUGGGAAGGUCUGGUUCAGUAUCUGAUAAUCUGCUCAGCUAGACACUUAAAUAUGUACUAUCGAAACUGCCUCCUUUCACGCGAACAUUUCAAAUAGAAAUGCUAUCCAGCUUCGAUAGGCAUUUCUCUAUUUUUGUUGUCGUUAGGUUCAAGGAUCAAUUGUGCUGUAGCCAGAGUUUUUAAAUGAAGUGUUUAAAGGUUUUGAUCAAAGUUUGGCUUGGAAGCCUUUUAAAGCAUCGCUAAGGUCAGGUCCAGUAUUUGAUAAUCUUGGACUAUCGAGAACUGCCUCCAUUCAUGAUGUAUGUGCAUUUGAUUUUGACAGUAAAUAUCUUGAUUCCUACUCAAUAAUUCAAGAUAUCACCUGAGCCUGCCCCCGAUGCAAUUUUUAUUGCAUGUUUUGCAGGUUCACGUUUGGGAAUCAGAGUGUAUUAAUCAUUAUUCUGUGUGGAUUAUGGUUUGUUAGCAGUGUUAACAUAUGAUCAUGAAUAGUAAGGUGGAGAAGUGCUCUUUUAUUACUAGCUUUUAUUGUAUUUUUGGUUGCACCACCUGUGCAUCUGCCAGAUUGUCUCCAACUGGAUUUGCCUGUCCUAACCCAUCGUACACUAAUGUCUGCAUAUGAAGGAUAAAAUCACCUCGGUAACUAAAUAUGAGACUUCUUUUUAGUUCAAUUUGAACUGCAAAAACGUCUUAUGUUUAGUUGCAGAGGUAGCAUUAACUUGUACUCCAGUUUAUUUUAUGUAUAUGCCCUUCCUAACCCUGUGCACAGCAACAAUGGAGUUUUUUUUUUUUUUUUGAACACUGGAAAUACUAUUGAUCAACAACAACGUACAUAUACAAGUGUGCACUGGAGUACUUCAGUGAGCUUCGCUACAUCUGCAUUAAGGCAAGAUAUGUUGCCUGCACAUAAACACAUAAACCUGAAAGGAGAAUUCUGGAUUUUGAGUGCUAGCCUAGCUUGAUGAUGUGCUCGAAAAUUAUAGCUCCUGUUGACAUGGUAGAUCCUGGUAGCAUCAAAAGUCGGAGAGGUUGUAAUGUAAGCAAGUUGAGGCCUAAGUUGUCGCCAGAGUCGCGUUGUCCGUCAGAAAAGUAACCUGUUGAAGCUGAAGCAAUUCUGCUAUCUUGGAUGCAAAGAAGCUUCUGCGGUCUCUCUGGCUUCUGACCAUUUGUGUUCUAUCAGACAAAAAAACCCUAAAGUGUUGCAAGAGUGCCUGCUGAUGUAUUGUUUCUUUUACCUCUUAGGGUUAUGGCUGUAUCUAUCUAAAUUUGGUAAGUGAUGUGGUGUCAAGAUGAGUACAGCUUGUUUUCUUUUUCCUGUAACGUGGUAACAAUGAAUAGUUCCUGACAGUUUUGCUGUCUGAGAUUUCGGAUAAUGUGCAGCUGAUUCACCUGAAAA
Molecule: non-coding RNA, 8045 nt
Organism: Aegilops tauschii subsp. strangulata
Lineage: Eukaryota; Viridiplantae; Streptophyta; Magnoliopsida; Poales; Poaceae
Source: RefSeq, a predicted model, not a curated record